UUGGCAAAGAAAUAAAGGAAAUCUGUCCAUGAGGUCCUGAAAGUGCAAGAUUUGCCUUCUUUGACUCUGAAAAGCCGAUGCAUUUCUGCUAGUCGAUCCUCCCAAAACACCGYGUGGAGCUGUUCAGUAAAUCCCCAGCCCGCCUGGCUGCACCAGGAGCGCAUC
Molecule: long non-coding RNA, 165 nt
Organism: Nothoprocta perdicaria
Lineage: Eukaryota; Metazoa; Chordata; Aves; Tinamiformes; Tinamidae
Exons: 2
Source: RefSeq, a predicted model, not a curated record